GGGCUUGACAUCCCACGAACCUGCCUGUAAAGGCGGGGUGCCCGCAAGGGAGCGUGGAGACAGGUGGUGCAUGGCUGUCGUCAGCUCGUGUCGUGAGAUGUUGGGUUAAGUCCCGCAACGAGCGCAACCCUCACCCCUGGUUGCCACCGGGUAAAGCCGAGCACUCGAGGGGAACUGCCAGCGUCAAGCUGGAGGAAGGCGGGGAUGACGUCAAGUCAUCAUGCCCCUUACGCCCUGGCUACACACGUGCUACAAUGGCCGGUACAAAGGGACGCGAGACCGAGAGGUGGAGCUAAUCCCAAAAAACCGGUCUAAGUUCAGAUUGCAGUCUGCAACUCGACUGCAUGAAGGAGGAAUCGCUAGUAAUCGCGCAUCAGCCCGGCGCGGUGAAUACGUUCCCGGGCCUUGUACACACCGCCCGUCACACCACGAAAGCUGUCUGUACUCGAAGUCGCUGAGA
This 460-nucleotide ribosomal RNA is filed under the name uncultured Methylomirabilota bacterium. RNAcentral's name for it is "bacterial SSU rRNA". It matches the Rfam family "Bacterial small subunit ribosomal RNA", at positions 977 to 1435 of the family's 1533-position model. Lineage: Bacteria; Methylomirabilota (SeqCode). The record is from RNAcentral.